CGGGUGAGUAACACGUAUGCAACCUGCCUGCCACAGCCGGAUAAUCGGGAGAAAUUCCGUCUAAUACGGCAUAAUGCAUCGACGGGACAUCCUGUUGGUGCCAAAGGUUAAUUCCGGUGGCGGAUGGGCAUGCGCCGCAUUAGUUAGUUGGCGGUGUAACGGACCACCAAGACGACGAUGCGUAGGGGUUCUGAGAGGAAGGUCCCCCACACUGGUACUGAGACACGGACCAGACUCCUACGGGAGGCAGCAG
This 253-nucleotide ribosomal RNA is filed under the name uncultured bacterium. Its description in RNAcentral is "partial 16S ribosomal RNA". It matches the Rfam family "Bacterial small subunit ribosomal RNA", at positions 103 to 354 of the family's 1533-position model. The record is from RNAcentral.